This 255-nucleotide ribosomal RNA is filed under the name uncultured bacterium. RNAcentral's name for it is "partial 16S ribosomal RNA". It matches the Rfam family "Bacterial small subunit ribosomal RNA", at positions 524 to 776 of the family's 1533-position model. The record is from RNAcentral.
UACAGAGGUCUCAAGCGUUGUUCGGAUUCAUUGGGCGUAAAGGGUGCGUAGGUGGCGCCGUAAGUCGGGUGUGAAAUUUCGGAGCUUAACUCCGAAAACUGCAUUCGAUACUGCGGUGCUUGAGGACUGGAGAGGAGACUGGAAUUCAUGGUGUAGCAGUGAAAUGCGUAGAGAUCAUGAGGAAGACCAGUGGCGAAGGCGGGUCGUCUGGACAGUUCCUGACACUGAGGCACGAAGGCCAGGGGAGCAAACGGG